RNAcentral lists this ribosomal RNA (253 nucleotides) under uncultured bacterium. RNAcentral's name for it is "partial 16S ribosomal RNA". It matches the Rfam family "Bacterial small subunit ribosomal RNA", at positions 524 to 776 of the family's 1533-position model. The record is from RNAcentral.
AACAGAGGGGGCAAGCGUUGCUCGGAAUCACUGGGCGUAAAGGGCGUGCAGGCGGUUUGUUAAGUUCAGGGUGAAAGCUCCCGGCUCAACUGGGAGAGGUCCUUGGAUACUGGCAGACUUGAGGAGGGUAGAGGAGAGUGGAAUUCCCGGUGUAGUGGUGAUAUGCGUAGAUAUCGGGAGGAACACCAGUGGCGAAGGCGGCUCUCUGGGCCCUACCUGACGCUGAGACGCGAAAGCGUGGGGAGCGAACCGG